GCGAUUCCCUGAGUAGCGGCGAGCGAAAAGGGAACAGCCCAGCGCAUAAUCUCCCGGGUUACCAAGCCUGCGGCGAAAUGUUGCGUUAAAGGAAAGGUCGUUAAUGCCUCGCUCACCCGUUUGAUUGUGCCUAACAGCGUCUUGAAUUAUUCGCGCUUGUCAAGCACCUUUGUAUCUCUUACGGGUUACAAAAGCUCGACACACGGUUCCAUGGAGGGUGCAAGUCCCGUCUGGCCGCGGUUGAGUGGGCGAUGGCUAGACCUCUUUUCCUGGAGAGUCGCGUUGCUUGAACUUGCAGCGCUAAGCAGGAGGUAAACUCCUCCUAAGGCUAAAUAUGUCCACAGAACCGAUAGCUAACAAGUACCGCGAGGGAAAGUUGAAAAGUACUCUGGAGAGAGGGUGCAAAGACCGUGAAACCAUCCAGGGCAAAAGCCAAUGUCGAGUAUCCUAGUUGCGCUGGGACCGUCCCUCGGGAUGAUACUACGCUCGAGUAUCGCCUCGGGCUCAUUCUAUUCGUUUAGAGUGCUCGAGACGUACUCGUCAUGUGCGUAGUUUGAGCGUCCACUAACAGCCCGCCGCAACUCUUACGAGGUCUCUCGCGGUUGCCGCGUGGCGGGAAGCUCGCGUUUGUGUACGGAGUGCGUCGUAACGGGGUCGUGUCGUGUGGAGUCCAUCCCAGUAGCUUUUGCGAAGAGAUGCCCGCUGACGCGUGGUACAAACAAACCCCUAUGGCGUAGUUCGGAGCGUAGAGAACCGUCACACACUGGCAGUCAAUGCGUGAAUGAUCCUUCGGUGAGAAGUUGGUUCGGACAAGUCCACGCUUGCGUGGCAACGGCGGUAUCAUGCCUAGGUGACAUUGGUCACGUCUCGAAACACGGGCCAAGGAGCAUAGCGUAAAGGCAAGUCGCAGGGUUUCACUAAACCCGGUGGCGAGUGAAAGCGAGUGACGUACCAUUAGUUUUGUGCGUAGACGCGUUGGUGAGAGUUCCCUUCACGGGAUGUCUCGAGCCGUGUGUUGCUUUGUACACAGCUGAUCCUUAAGCUCUUUUGAGCGACAAGGCGCAAGCUGCAAGCUUACUCAAUGUCGCAAUCCCGCACGGCCUCACGGCUGUGUACUUGCGUGACAGAGGAAGCAUUGUCUAGACUUUCCGCUAUGACCCGAAAGAUAGUGAACUAUGCUUGACGAAGACGAAGUCCUAGGAAACUAUGAUGGAAGUCUGUAGCCGUUGUGACGUGCAAAUCCAUGGCGUCAGUUGAGUAUAGGGGCGAAAGACCAAUCGAACUAUCUAGUAGCUGGUUCCAUUCGAAGUUUCUCUCAGGAUAGCUUGAGCGACAAUGACGCUAACAAGUUCGAUCUUAUGAGUAUAUCACACACUAAGAACGCCCACGUCUGCAGUUGUUGAGAGCACAUAUAGCCGUGAGCUCGUACACUCACUCUUUCCAGGCAAUGCGGGUUGCGUGUCACACACGUUUUUCCUUACGCAGUUACGUCUGGUAAAGAGAAUGAGUAGAGUUGGCUCGUUGUUCUUUGUAACAACAGCAGCGGGGCGUUCUACGCCUCGCACUAUUAUCAAACUUUAAAUGGGCGAGGAACUCGGCAUUAUCUUAAUUGCUUGAUGCCGAGGCGUACACGGUACAGUGUUGUCAAAUACUCUGUUUCGGAUGAGAAUGCGUGCGCUUUAAGUGGGUCCUUUCUGGUAAGCAGAACUGAUAAUGAGGGAUGAACCUAACGCAUGUGCUAAGGGGUCAAAAAGACAGCUAUUUCUCGAAACCAUUGGAAAGGUGUUGCUUGCUAAAGACAGCAGGACGGUGGUCAUGGAAGUUGACAUCCGCUAAGGAGUGUGUAACAACUCAUCCUGCCGAAGCGAGUAACCCUGAAAAUGGAUGACUCUAUAGCUCUCUCCCGAUGCACAGCCGUCAAUAGCACGAGUGACAUUUCUUGUCUCAACGCUUUGACGAGUAGAAUGGUGUGCUGGUGUGCGUCGAAGACCUUUGCGUGAGCAUGGUCGGAGCCGCCAGUAGUACAGAUCUUGGUGGUAGUAGCAAGUACUCUGGUGAAUAACCUUGAGCUGUGAGGCUGACAAGGGUUCCGUGUCAACAGCGUUUGAACACGGGUAAGCCGAUCCUAAGCUCCCUUUAUCUCAUAAAGGUAAUUGCGUAUGCCCGGAGAACUACUCUCAACCGCACCGAGUUUGUGUGUCGUGGUCAGCGUCGUCGUCUUGCUAAGAACAUGUGUUUUUGUGUGUGGUGGCCCCCGCUCUCACGCUGUCACUGAAAGUGUUAUGCACCCGGUCGAACGUAGCUCUUGAAAGAGUGCUAUCGCAUACGCACGAGUAAGAGAUCACGCUGAGAAACGCCGCCAUCGCGCACAACACACGAGAUGACAAACUGUCCCGCACGCAAGACACCUCGCGCGUGCGUGUUGUUUACAGUAUAAUCUGGCGUCGCUUGGCGAAAGGGGAAUCUGAACUCAGUUCAUAUGCCUCUCCUGGCACCCUGAGACGGUUCACCGUAUCACGAUCCUAGCAAUAGAUGCCAGGCCAGUCGAUGUCAUAAGUAGCUCGACAGGGAGAUUUCUUCUCUCUUUGAUAAGACGGUAGUUCCUGAAAGCACCUCGCGUGGCGGAAGGACGAUGUCUUGUAUAGCAGAGUAGUCCUCUUUCUAGACUAGCUCGACGCUGCUUGUGACCCGUGAAAAGGUGGUCGAGGGGAAGGAAAUGUACGCUAGAGCACACACACACCCUUGGGUUGCGUGUCUCAUGCAGUACUUUCGCACUUCACACGAGUGUUUGCCACGGAGUGUUCGUACCCAUUUCCGCAUCCGUCUC
RNAcentral lists this ribosomal RNA (2827 nucleotides) under Cyllopus lucasii. RNAcentral describes it as "partial 28S ribosomal RNA". It matches the Rfam family "Eukaryotic large subunit ribosomal RNA", at positions 71 to 1867 of the family's 3401-position model. The record is from RNAcentral. Lineage: Eukaryota; Metazoa; Arthropoda; Malacostraca; Amphipoda; Hyperiidae.